Molecule: ribosomal RNA, 941 nt
Filed under: Dermacoccus sp.
Lineage: Bacteria; Bacillati; Actinomycetota; Actinomycetes; Micrococcales; Dermacoccaceae
Description: bacterial SSU rRNA
Rfam family: Bacterial small subunit ribosomal RNA
Source: RNAcentral
ACGACGCACGGGGCUAACCACCUCNCCAGCAGCUGCUGUUAUAUGUAGGCCGCGAGCGUUGUCUUUAAUUUGUGAGCGUAAAGAGCUCGUAGGUGGUCCGUCGCGUCUGAUGUGACAGAGCGUGGUCUCAGUNNUGUCCUGCAGUGGGUACGGGCAGACUAGAGUAUGGUAGGAGAGACUAGAAUUCCCGGUGUAGCGGUGAAAUGCGCAGCUCUCAGGAGGAACACCGAUGGCGAAGGCAGGUCUCUGGGCCAUUACUGACGUUGAGAAGCGAAAGCAUGGGGAGCGAACAGGAUUAGAUACCCUGGUAGUCCAUGUUGUAAACGUUGGGCGCUAGGUGUGGGGCUCAUUCCACGAGUUCCGUGCCGCAGUUAACGCAUUAAGCGCCCCGCCUGGGGAGUACGGCCGCAAGGCUAAAACUCAAAGGAAUUGACGGGGGCCCGCACAAGCGGCGGAGCAUGCGGAUUAAUUCGAUGCAACGCGAAGAACCUUACCAAGGCUUGACAUACACCGGAAUCAUGCAGAGAUGUGUGCGUCUUCGGACUGGUGUACAGGUGGUGCAUGGUUGUCGUCAGCUCGUGUCGUGAGAUGUUGGGUUAAGUCCCGCAACGAGCGCAACCCUCGUUCCAUGUUGCCAGCACGUAAGGGUGGGGACUCAUGGGAGACUGCCGGGGUCAACUCGGAGGAAGGUGGGGAUGACGUCAAAUCAUCAUGCCCCUUAUGUCUUGGGCUUCACGCAUGCUACAAUGGCCGGUACAGAGGGUUGCGAAACUGUGAGGUGGAGCUAAUCCCAAAAAACCGGUCUCAGUUCGGAUUGGGGUCUGCAACUCGACCCCAUGAAGUCGGAGUCGCUAGUAAUCGCAGAUCAGCAACGCUGCGGUGAAUACGUUCCCGGGCCUUGUACACACCGCCCGUCAAGUCACGAAAGUUGGUAACACCCG